Molecule: ribosomal RNA, 473 nt
Filed under: uncultured bacterium
Lineage: Bacteria
Description: partial 16S ribosomal RNA
Rfam family: Bacterial small subunit ribosomal RNA
Source: RNAcentral
UGGGGAAUUUUGGACAAUGGCGCAAGCCUGAUCCAGCCAUGCCGCGUGCGGGAAGAAGGCCUUCGGGUUGUAAACCGCUUUUGUCAGGGAAGAAAUCUUCUGAGUUAAUACCUCGGGAGGAUGACGGUACCUGAAGAAUAAGCACCGGCUAACUACGUGCCAGCAGCCGCGGUAAUACGUAGGGUGCAAGCGUUAAUCGGAAUUACUGGGCGUAAAGCGUGCGCAGGCGGUUUUGUAAGACAGAGGUGAAAUCCCCGGGCUCAACCUGGGAACUGCCUUUGUGACUGCAAGGCUUGAGUGCGGCAGAGGGGGGAAUGGAAUUCCGCGUGUAGCAGUGAAAAUGCGUAGAUAUGCGGAGGAAACACCGAUGGCGAAAGGCAAAUCCCCUGGGCCUGCACUGACGCUCAUGCACGAAAAGCGUGGGGAGCAAAACAGGAUUAGAUACCCUGGUAGUCACGCCCUAAAACGAUGUC